Arachis ipaensis is the source of this 1104-nucleotide non-coding RNA. The record is from RefSeq and is a predicted model, not a curated record. Lineage: Eukaryota; Viridiplantae; Streptophyta; Magnoliopsida; Fabales; Fabaceae.
CAAAUGGAAUAAUAUGUUGACAAGUGUGCAAGUUGUUGGCUGGAGGGAACAAGCUUGGCAGAGGUUUAAAAGCUUGUCUGCCUUAGUUUUCGAAGGAGGAGCCGGCUUCUGGAAUAAGCCAAUCAAGAGCAACUGUAAGGGAGUUGGGUCGGGCCGGUGUUUUGUAUUUUUUUUGUUGGUCAUCAGUGGUGGACUCCUUAAAGAUAAUUGGGCUUAUAUACAAUGUUUUGUCUAAGUCCACAUCACAGCAAUCUAGAGGAAGAAGAUAAAGACGAAAGCGACAACAACAGCAUCCGAGUGACUGUUGACAAACGAGGAGAUCUACAGCCCACAGCACCACCAUGAACACCAACAACGGGAUCGAGAUCUGAUGACCAUCAACGAAGCCGCCGCUUGUUUGGGUCGGGUAAAGCUAGUGGAGAAAGACCAACACGAACCCGGACGACGACGUUUUGUUGUAUGCCUUUGACGAGUCGAAGCGGUUGGGGCUCACCGCGUUCUGGAAUUCGUCAUCUCUCUCCCUGUCCCUCAAAACCUAGGGCUUCCUUUUUAGGGAUACCAUAAUCCUUACUGGUUUGGCCUCCAUGGAUGCAUCAGCACCUGCUAUUCAGUGUUCCUCCUCCCAUUAACAAAGGAACCCACAAAAAAAAAAACGAAAAGUUGCAUGAUUAGAUACCCAAUUUUUUUUGUUUGUCAAAGUUUAAGUCAAAUAGCCCACCAACAAAGAUCCAAUCAAAAAAGAAUGGCUAACAACUCGACCAGCUCCAGCCAUCAAAGGGGAGACAAGCCCUAGAUCAACAUAGCCACGUGUCGAUCUCAUGUUCACUCAAAAAAAAAUCUGUAAAUCUGUAUCAAUUUGCAUCUGUACCAUAGAAUGACCCUUUGUAAGGUUAAACGGUCAGAUUAAAAAUCGUCUUUAAACUGUUAAACCGACUGAAAACUAAUCAAUCAGACCAAACUAGAACUCGACCAGUUUUCUCGAUACUACUUUAAACUGCAUCGUUUUUGAGUUCUUUGAAAACAAAAAUAGAAAAUAAAAAAAAAAACUCAGACCCUCUCACCCCUCCUCAGUCCUCACCUUCAUCCUCUCUUCCCUCUCUAAAA